GGGAGCCUUCGAUAUCCAGAAAGGAGCACGGGCUAUUCAGGGCCCAGCCGGGCGGAUGGCGACUAUCAAAAGGAAAUAGGAUCAUGGCAGCAGA
This 94-nucleotide long non-coding RNA is filed under the name Dasypus novemcinctus (nine-banded armadillo). RNAcentral's name for it is "lncRNA (ENSDNOG00000051606.1)". Lineage: Eukaryota; Metazoa; Chordata; Mammalia; Cingulata; Dasypodidae. The record is from RNAcentral.